AAGAACACCAGGGGRCGAAGGCGAAUUUUCGGGACGAUAAUUGACGCUGAGGCAUGAAAGGGUGGGGAGCAAACAGGAUUGAUACCGUGGUAGUCCACGCCGUAAACGAUGAAUACUGGGGUGUAGGAGGUAUUGACUCCUUCUGUGCCGCAGUUAACACAUUAAGUAUUCCGCCUGGGGAGUACGAUCGCAAGAUUAAAACUCAAAGGAAUUGAAGGGGGCCCGCACAAGCAGCGGAGCAUGUGGUUUAAUUGGAAGCAACGCGAAGAACCUUACCUAGACUUGACAUCUCCUGCAUUACUCUUAACAGAGGAAGUCCUUCGGGACAGGAUGACAGGUGGUGCAUGGUUGUCGUCAGCUCGUGUCGUGAGAUGUUGGGUUAAGUCCCGCAACGAGCGCAACCCUUAUCAUUAGUUGCUACCAUUAAGUUGAGCACUCUAGUGAGACUGCCCGGGUUAACCGGGAGGAAGGUGGGGACGACGUCAAAUCAUCAUGCCCCUUAUGUCUAGGGCUACACACGUGGCACAAUGGUAGGUACAACAAGAUGCAAUACCGUGAGGUGGAGCUAAACUCAAAAACCUAUCCCAGUUCGGAUUGUAGGCUGAAACUCGCCUACAUGAAGCCGGAGUUGCUAGUAAUCGCGAAUCAGCAUGUCGCGGUGAAUACGUUCCCGGGCCUUGUACACACCGCCCGUCACACCAUGAGAGCCGUUAACACCCGAAGUCCGUGAGGUAACCGUAAGGAGCCAGCGGCUGACGGUGAGAUUGGCGAUUGGGGUGAAGUCGAGCAAUUUGCCCUCC
RNAcentral lists this ribosomal RNA (800 nucleotides) under Clostridium senegalense. RNAcentral describes it as "bacterial SSU rRNA". It matches the Rfam family "Bacterial small subunit ribosomal RNA", at positions 702 to 1504 of the family's 1533-position model. Lineage: Bacteria; Bacillati; Bacillota; Clostridia; Eubacteriales; Clostridiaceae. The record is from RNAcentral.